This 253-nucleotide ribosomal RNA is filed under the name uncultured bacterium. RNAcentral describes it as "partial 16S ribosomal RNA". It matches the Rfam family "Bacterial small subunit ribosomal RNA", at positions 524 to 776 of the family's 1533-position model. The record is from RNAcentral.
UACAGAGGUCUCAAGCGUUGUUCGGAUUCAUUGGGCGUAAAGGGUGCGUAGGCGGCGCGGUAAGUCGGGUGUGAAAUCUCGGAGCUUAACUCCGAAACUGCAUUCGAUACUGCCGUGCUUGAGGACUGGAGAGGAGACUGGAAUUUACGGUGUAGCGGUGAAAUGCGUAGAUAUGACAUAGAACACCAAUUGCGAAGGCAGCUCACUAAGCAAAUAUUGACGCUGAGGCACGAAAGCGUGGGGAUCAAACAGG